GAGAGAGAGAGAGAGAGAGAGAGAGUUGAGCUAGAAUAAUAUCAGUAGCAAAUAGGCUCCGUUGCCACCCAUUUGUUUUCGAUGAUGGAGCCUGCAAAUUGACGAUCGACACCGUUGAAAAUAAUCUAUAUCACUUGAAGUAUUUACAAAUCAAAUUUCAUGCUUUGCGGAUUUUGUUCUCUUGUCCAUUAAGUGGGCGUAAAAAUGAACGGCUGAAAAUAAAUAUUCUCUAAAAAGUGAUGAUAGGAAUUUUGUAAUCAAGAUCGAGAGUAUAGAUCUUGUUCUAAAUAGUUUAAAAAAUUUUGUAACCAAAAUUCAAUUGAUUUGAAUAGCUUUAUACCGUUAAACGAGAAAAUGCCUUAUAUCUACCCUUAAAAUUACAAAUUUUAAAACUCUUUGAUUAUUAGAUCAAUGAUGUCAAAAAUUUGGGUUCUAAAUACUUCGAGUAGUAUAAAUCAUGUUCAACGAUACCGAUCGUUGAUUUAAAAACUCUAUCAUCGAAAAUAUAUGGGUGACAAUGGAGCCCGUUUGUUACUGAUAAUUAACAUUCCAGUUUAACUCUAUAUACAUAUAUAUA
This 577-nucleotide long non-coding RNA is filed under the name Ananas comosus (pineapple). Its description in RNAcentral is "long non-coding RNA (ACOM_LNC041231)". The record is from RNAcentral. Lineage: Eukaryota; Viridiplantae; Streptophyta; Magnoliopsida; Poales; Bromeliaceae.